AAAAAAUUUUUAUAGUUUUGGUAUUUUAUUUUAAAUAUAAUUUACAUACAAAUUUUAGUGUUAAAUUUUGUUUAUUUUAAUAAUAAAUAAAAUUAUAAAGUAGUAAUUAAUUUUAAAUAUUUAAGAAAUUAAGAUUUAGUAAUUUUGAAAUAAAUAACUAAUUUUGUGCCAGCAGUUGCGGUUAUACAAAAAUUUAAUUAAAAUUUUUCAGUAUAUAUUAAAUAAAAUUAUAAAAUAUAAAUUAAAAAUUAAAUUAUUAAGUGAAAUUUUAAUUUAAUAAAAAUUUAAAAAAAAUAUAUGAAUUAGUAAAUUUAUAUAAAAACUAGGAUUAGAUACCCUAUUAUUAAAAUAAAAUAAUUUAUACUAAAAUAGUAAAUAAUGAUUUAUUGAAACUUAAAUAAUUUGGCGGUAUUUUAGUUCAUUUAGAGGAAUCUGUCUAAUAAUUGAUAAUCCACGAUUAAAUUUACUUAAUUUAAAAUUUUAUAUAUCGUUGUUAAAAAAAUAUUUUAAAAUAAAAAUAAUAUUUAAAAAUUAUAAUUAAAAAUUAAUUCAGAUCAAGAUGUAGAUUAUAAUUAAGAUAUAAGAUGGAUUACAAUAAAUUUAUUUAAGUGAAUUUUUGUUUUUAAUAUAUAAAUGAAAUUGGAUUUAAAUGUAAUUUUAUUUAAUAUAAUAAAAUGAUUUAAAAUUGAAAUAUGUACAUAUUGCCCGUCGCUUUCAUUUUAAAAUUGGAAUAAGUCGUAACAAAGUAGAAGUACUGGAAAGUGUUUCUAGAA
RNAcentral lists this non-coding RNA (773 nucleotides) under Celastrina hersilia. Lineage: Eukaryota; Metazoa; Arthropoda; Insecta; Lepidoptera; Lycaenidae. The record is from RNAcentral.